GAUGAACGCUGGCGGCGUGCUUAACACAUGCAAGUCGAACGAUAAAGCCCAGCUUGCUGGGUGGAUUAGUGGCGAACGGGUGAGUAACACGUGAGUAACCUGCCCUUGACUCUGGGAUAAGCCCGGGAAACUGGGUCUAAUACCGGAUAGGAGCGCCUGUCGCAUGACGGGUGUUGGAAAGAUUUUUCGGUCAUGGAUGGACUCGCGGCCUAUCAGCUUGUUGGUGAGGUAAUGGCUCACCAAGGCGACGACGGGUAGCCGGCCUGAGAGGGUGACCGGCCACACUGGGACUGAGACACGGCCCAGACUCCUACGGGAGGCAGCAGUGGGGAAUAUUGCACAAUGGGCGGAAGCCUGAUGCAGCGACGCCGCGUGAGGGAUGACGGCCUUCGGGUUGUAAACCUCUUUCAGUAGGGAAGAAGC
RNAcentral lists this ribosomal RNA (423 nucleotides) under Micrococcus sp. oral taxon F54. RNAcentral describes it as "bacterial SSU rRNA". It matches the Rfam family "Bacterial small subunit ribosomal RNA", at positions 28 to 451 of the family's 1533-position model. Lineage: Bacteria; Bacillati; Actinomycetota; Actinomycetes; Micrococcales; Micrococcaceae. The record is from RNAcentral.